RNAcentral lists this transfer RNA (77 nucleotides) under Synergistaceae bacterium. RNAcentral describes it as "tRNA-Pro". It matches the Rfam family "tRNA". From Rfam's summary of the family: Transfer RNA (tRNA) molecules are approximately 80 nucleotides in length. Their secondary structure includes four short double-helical elements and three loops (D, anti-codon, and T loops). The record is from RNAcentral. Lineage: Bacteria; Thermotogati; Synergistota; Synergistia; Synergistales; Synergistaceae.
CGGGGCGUAGCGCAGGUUGGUAGCGGACCUGCUUUGGGAGCAGGGGGUCGAAGGUUCAAGUCCUUUCGCCCCGACCA